GUGUUCACUUUGGCAGCACAUAUGCUGAAAUUAGAAUAAUACAGAGAAGAUUAUCAUGGCCUCUGUGCAAAGAUAACACACAAAUUCAUGAAGCUGUCCAUAUUUUU
Molecule: small nuclear RNA, 107 nt
Organism: Heterocephalus glaber (naked mole-rat)
Lineage: Eukaryota; Metazoa; Chordata; Mammalia; Rodentia; Bathyergidae
Source: Ensembl